GGAGAGUUGUCCGAGAGGCUGAAGGAGCACGAUUGGAAAUCGUGUAGACGGGGUAACCUGUCUCAAGGGUUCAAAUCCCUUACUCUCCGCCA
This 92-nucleotide transfer RNA is filed under the name Peptococcaceae bacterium. RNAcentral's name for it is "tRNA-Ser". It matches the Rfam family "tRNA". From Rfam's summary of the family: Transfer RNA (tRNA) molecules are approximately 80 nucleotides in length. Their secondary structure includes four short double-helical elements and three loops (D, anti-codon, and T loops). Further hydrogen bonds mediate the characteristic L-shaped molecular structure. tRNAs have two regions of fundamental functional importance: the anti-codon, which is responsible for specific mRNA codon recognition, and the 3' end, to which the tRNAs corresponding amino acid is attached (by aminoacyl-tRNA synthetases). tRNAs cope with the degeneracy of the genetic code in two manners: having more than one tRNA (with a specific anti-codon) for a particular amino acid; and 'wobble' base-pairing, i.e. permitting non-standard base-pairing at the 3rd anti-codon position. The record is from RNAcentral. Lineage: Bacteria; Bacillati; Bacillota; Clostridia; Eubacteriales; Peptococcaceae.